AGGGUGCGGCGUUAAUGGUGCAGCUGCGGGAGCGGCCGUGUCUGCCGGCUGUGUGAGAGGAGGUCGCCGGCUGGCGGUGCAGCGGCCUCCGUCGCAGCCGUGUGGCUGUCCUAGUGCUUCAAACCCUUGUUGUUUUUUAAGAGGCCUGGAGUGCGAAGGUCUCAGGGAAAAAGAAUCCUUAGUUGACACCUGAUGGGAGGGUAGAAUGUGUUCUGCACACCCUCAUCCCACAGAGACAGCUUCAGUGGCGUGUGUGAGGAACGCUCCACAGCCUUCAGCUGAGGGGCACAAGCUGUGUCUGGAGAAGGGAUUUACUUGAGCAGCAUUUGCUGCCUGUGAAAACACAUGGGCAUUGACUCCAGAGUGAGGUACUGUCUGUUACUGCUGCACCUCGUCUUCAAUGGAACUGUAUAACCUACCAUAGCAGCAGCGUUAGAAGUGCCAGACAUGGCCCCAACCAUCCCGGCAGUCCAUCCCUGGGCUCAGAAAGACCACCCCUCAGCAACAGCUGAGGAUCAGUGUUCACUACUGGAUCAGUGAAGCUGUAGUAAACACACGGCCCUGGGAACCUAUAGCUUUGGAGGGCUGAAGCUUGAUGAUCUUUAAGGUCCCUUACAACCUAAGCCAUUCUAUGAAGCACUGACAGCUACACAAAGAAUACCUAUCUGACCUACAGAUACACUGCACCAAAUGAAAUGCUGUCUCAUGUAUGUUAAAUGUAUAAAAUAGCUAUCACAAA
This 739-nucleotide long non-coding RNA is filed under the name Gallus gallus (chicken). RNAcentral describes it as "long non-coding RNA NONGGAT001007". Lineage: Eukaryota; Metazoa; Chordata; Aves; Galliformes; Phasianidae. The record is from RNAcentral.